This is a long non-coding RNA of Chelonia mydas (Green sea turtle), 659 nucleotides long. RefSeq lists it as uncharacterized. The transcript has 5 exons. The record is from RefSeq and is a predicted model, not a curated record. NCBI's taxonomy places the organism in Eukaryota, Metazoa, Chordata, Testudines, Cheloniidae.
GAAGAACCAUUGGGUUCCUGUAGAAGUCCCUGAAGCUGGGUCUGCAGGAUGUAGUUUCUGGGGAGUCAGGGCUCAAUCCUAGAGCAGAGAGACUUAGAUAUCCCAGAAGGGGCUGGGAACUGAGCCUAAAGGUUUGGCCUGGUACGUUUCAUGAAACAGAACAGAUCCUCCCACACACACACUCACUCACUCACCCCCCAUCUCUCUCUCUCUCUCUCUCUCAGUAUUUCCUGAGAGCAGGAGGGAGAGCAGACCAUGAAAUGUUGAGCCACUCGCACAAGAGGGUUUGAUCACAUGCAGGGGACCUUCAGAAGACAGAAUUAGGGAUGGGAUAACAGCUUAGCACAGGAUCACCACCAUCCUCAGUCUUCUGGCUUUUGAUUUAGCAGCACAAAGAUGUUUUAUGAUAGCAUACUCUCACCAACAUCUGCUUCACUUUUUUUUUCACUGCCAUCUUUAGCACCAUCCAACUAAACUCUCUCCUUCAAAGGAACCGUAAUAAGAAUAAACACCAACAUGGGCCACAAUCUUACACUCUUCCUUUGGUAUGCGUGAGCAACUUGCUCUCACUACUGGAAUCAGCUUGUGAGGCAGAUGUUAAUUCUCUGCACAGUAGAAAGCCUCAGCCUUGGAAAGUGGCAAAGUUAACAAGAGUAAAA